Molecule: long non-coding RNA, 208 nt
Filed under: Elaeis guineensis (African oil palm)
Lineage: Eukaryota; Viridiplantae; Streptophyta; Magnoliopsida; Arecales; Arecaceae
Description: long non-coding RNA (EGUI_LNC024550)
Source: RNAcentral
GAAGCUAGUGGAGGAAGGUGAAGUGGAGCUGGAGAAGGUCCAUACUAAGAGAACCAGUCAAAUGCACUCAUGAAGGUACUUCCUCGAGAUAGCUUUCAGAUGUGCGUGGCACGGAUGGAUCUAUAGGAUAAAGCUGAGUUCACAAAGAUUUGAUAGCACUAAGGUGGAGAUCGUGAGCUCAGGUAUGGCACUACCAAGCUUUGGAAAC